Vicia faba (fava bean) is the source of this 438-nucleotide non-coding RNA. NCBI's taxonomy places the organism in Eukaryota, Viridiplantae, Streptophyta, Magnoliopsida, Fabales, Fabaceae. The record is from the annotation of a GenBank genome assembly.
AUGCAUUCAUGCACCCAUGAGCAUUAUUUAAACGUUUUUUCAAGGAACUUAAGGUUGACUUUUGCAAAUACCUUAGGUACUCUUUUGACCAUGGAUUUUGGAAUGAGAAAGACUCAGAAGUAUAGUUUCAAGGAUCCUAAGAUAGAGGAACUGAUGAGUUUGAUUCCUGAGAUUGAGAGUUCUACAAAUUUCUUGAAGAAGUAUAGAGUCGUUGUGCCUUUUAUGAAGCUCAAGAUGAAGGAGGGUAUUCUUUCCACAUUGGUCCAGUUUUAUGAUCCUUUAUAUCAGUGUUUUACUUUUCCUGAUUAUCACUUGAUGCCCACAUUGGAGAAGUAUUCUUUCUUACUUUGUUUACCUAUUACUAAUCGUGUUCCUUUCACCGGGUUAGAAGGAGAGAACAAUUCUCAUUAUAUUUCCACCAUAACUCACUUGAGGAAG